AGGACGCCCAGCUAGUGUCUGCUGCUCAGUGUGUGGGGGAAACCACCCCACAUUUGGUCGCAUAAGUCUUUUUCUGCGUUCACGAUCGUCCGUGUUGGCGUGAGGGCAGAGGAAGGGCAUGCUUCUAGUGUUUUUCCUAAACAACAGCCAACUCAUAAAACAGGAGAAAAUAUUCGCAAAUCACAUGUAAGUGAUUAAUUUCCAGAAUAUAUAAAGAACUCCUAAAACGGACAUUCAGCCGGCCUUUUGGGGCGACGGACAUUCUGUUCUAGCACCAUGGCUCAAUUUGUCCGUAACCUGGCAGAGAAGGCCCCCGCACUUGUGAACGCUGCUGUGACUUAUUCGAAGCCUCGAUUGGCCACAUUUUGGUACUACGCCAAGGUUGAGCUGGCUCCUCCAACCCCUGCUGAGAUCCCUAGAGCUUUUCAGAGCCUGAAAAAAAUAGUCAAUAGUGCUCAAACUGGUAGCUACAAACAGCUUACAGUUAAGGAAGCCAUGCUGAAUGGUUUGGUGGCCACUGAGGUGUGGAUGUGGUUUUAUGUCAGAGAGAUCAUAGGCAAGCGUGGCAUCAUUGGCUACGAUGUUUGAAGACCAGUCUUUAACAUCUGAUUAUAUUUGACUUAUUUGAGUAUUCUUGGACCAUGUGUGAUCAGACUGCUAUCUGAAUAAAAUAUGUCAAAAAUCAAAAAAAAAAAAAAAAAA
Microcebus murinus (gray mouse lemur) is the source of this 702-nucleotide RNA transcript. It is a transcript of the gene named ATP synthase F(0) complex subunit g, mitochondrial pseudogene, with no coding region annotated. The record is from RefSeq and is a predicted model, not a curated record. NCBI's taxonomy places the organism in Eukaryota, Metazoa, Chordata, Mammalia, Primates, Cheirogaleidae.